This 600-nucleotide ribosomal RNA is filed under the name Triticum aestivum (bread wheat). RNAcentral describes it as "partial small subunit ribosomal RNA". The record is from RNAcentral. Lineage: Eukaryota; Viridiplantae; Streptophyta; Magnoliopsida; Poales; Poaceae.
AUGGCAUUGAAGCAAGAGGCUGCUCAACUGAAGUGCGAUGCUUCCAAGAAGCGAGUCAGAGAUGCUACUCCUUCUUCCUCUACUCAAGUGGCUAAGCAGCAGAAGUAUUGGCUUCCUCCUCCUCCGUUCCGUCAGCCUUAUCAACAGAAGAGCAAAGGUGGCAGUGGAUCUUCCCACCCACCCAACCCUGGCUUUCAGAACAAGACUUCGUCUCAAGCUCCAAGAUCGAGUGAUCCGUAUCACCGUCCGCUUUCAGAGGUCACGUGCAAUAAGUGCCAACAGAAGGGUCACUAUGCCAACAAAUGCUUCAACCAGAGGCGUCUCCCUCCUCCUCCUCCUCCUAUGAGAUCGGCAAGUACAGCUGUGGUCAAGCAUAACCCCAAGCAUGCCAAGGUCAACUUGCUGAAUGCAGCUCAGGCAGAGGACUCGUCAGAUGUCAUCAUGGGUAACCUUCCUGUUAACGAUAUUCCAGCUAAAGUACUUUUUGAUACUGGUGCAUCGCAUUGUUUCAUGUCAAAGCCAUUUUUUUGCCAAGCACGAAUUCGUUUCUUCUCAUUUGGGCAAACAAAUGGAUAUCGUUUCUCCUGGCAAACAUUUGAG